GGAGUCUAGCGUGUGCGCGAGUCAUUGGGUAUUAAUAAACCUAAAGGCGAAAUGAAAGUGAAGGCGCGCUUUAAGCGCGCUAAGGGAGGAUGGGUCGGCUUAUCGCCGGCCUCGCACUCCCGGGGCGUCUAUUUCUCAUUGCGAGAAAAGGCGCACCUAGAGCGUACACGCUGGGACCCGAAAGAUGGUGAACUAUGCCUGGUCAGGACGAAGUCAGGGGAAACCCUGAUGGAGGUCCGUAGCGAUUCUGACGUGCAAAUCGAUCGUCGGAACUGGGUAUAGGGGCGAAAGACUAAUCGAACCAUCUAGUAGCUGGUUCCCUCCGAAGUUUCCCUCAGGAUAGCUGGUGCUCGGAGAUAUGAGUUUCAUCUGGUAAAGCGAAUGAUUAGAGGCAUUGGGGACGAAACGUCCUCAACCUAUUCUCAAACUUUAAAUGGGUGAGAUCUCCGGCUUAAUUCUUAAAACUGAAGCCGCGAGAAUCUAAGAAUCUAGAGCUCCAAGUGGGCCAUUUUUGGUAAGCAGAACUGGCGUUGUGGGAUGAACCAAACGCAGAGUUAAAGCGCCUAAAUAGACGCUUAUGAGAUACCAUGAAAGGCGUUGGUAACUUAAGACAGCAGGACGGUGGCCAUGGAA
Molecule: ribosomal RNA, 633 nt
Filed under: Cantharidae sp. UPOL 001297
Lineage: Eukaryota; Metazoa; Arthropoda; Insecta; Coleoptera; Cantharidae
Description: eukaryotic LSU rRNA
Rfam family: Eukaryotic large subunit ribosomal RNA
Source: RNAcentral